Non-coding RNA from Salvia hispanica, 1012 nucleotides. Lineage: Eukaryota; Viridiplantae; Streptophyta; Magnoliopsida; Lamiales; Lamiaceae. The record is from RefSeq and is a predicted model, not a curated record.
CCUGACUACCGAGGUACUUGGCCAUGCUGUAAUCAGCCAAGGGGUGUUCAAACAGACCCAUGGUGAACUUAACCCUUAGGAUCCUUGCCACUGCGUCGUCGAUCCGGCUCAUGGGAAUGAAUUUCCUUUCCACCAAGGAGCAUGAUUUGAAGUUUGAUGAUCAACCAACCAUGUCUAUUCCAGCGCCAACUCCGGCCAAGAUGGAAUACGUGUAGUUGAGAUGUGGCGGGGAAGUGAUUCUGUCGAUUCCUUGCCAGUCCGAGAUGACAAAUCCCUGCAACGCAAGGAAUGCGUAUGAGGAAGCCAGUGAUGAGAUCGCGGUUGGCGUGCAUCUUGACGCCGUUCCAGCUGGAGUAGGAGACCAUGACGGAGGCGACUCCUUUGAUGACAGCGUUGUAGUAGGGAGCCAUGUGAAUGCCAAGCAGAUCAUGCCUGCUCGCCAGCGUGUUGUUCUCGUUCCUUCCCCUGGUAGUUCCACCAUCGCCUACGUAGUGCUUGGCACAAGCCACCACUUUCUGCCUGACAAGUUGUGUGAUAAAUGAGAAGCAAAGAAUUGGAAAAAGAAAAAAUAAAUGAUGUAAUAUACUUACUGUCCAGCAACAAAGGGAACAGCCUUUGGAGAAUUGGAAGGGAUCUCUCCUUGUAAUCCAGCUCCAAUGGCGACGUUAUGAGGGAAAACGGUGGCUCUGUAAACGUUGUUGUGGCCGUGGACGGCGUCAAUCCCAUAAAGCAUGGGUAUCUUGAGACGGGUGGACAGGGAGCCCUUCUGGAAGCCGUUCACCAUGUCCACCCAUGCCUCUGGUGACGCCUUGCGCGACGGAACACUGCCUCCGCCGCUCAGCACGCUGCCUUUUUUUCAGACAUCAGAAGCAGAAUUAGCAGAGAACGUUUAAUACUUUUGAGGUUUGUAAAGAGGUUUGAUUUAUCAUUUUACCUAUGUAGUAUUUGUUUAGAACAUCGGCAGAUGCUACGAGGCGCUCGAUUUGUGUCAUUUGGCCUAUUUUUUCCUGGA